This 384-nucleotide ribosomal RNA is filed under the name uncultured organism. RNAcentral's name for it is "partial 16S ribosomal RNA". It matches the Rfam family "Bacterial small subunit ribosomal RNA", at positions 527 to 896 of the family's 1533-position model. The record is from RNAcentral.
GUAGGUGGCAAGCGUUGUCCGGAUUUACUGGGGGGGCGUAAAGGGGCGUGUAGGGCGGGUUCGUUAAGUCCGGGUGUGAGAUCUACCCCGGCUCAACUGGGAGGGGGUCAUCGGAUACUGGCGGACUAGAGGAGGGCAGAGGAAGGCGGAAUUCCCGGUGUAGCGGUGAUAUGCGUAGAUAUCGGGAGGAACACCAGUGGCGAAGGCGGCCUUCUGGGCCCAUCCUGACGCUGAGGCGCGAAAGCGUGGGGAGCAAACCGGAUUAGAUACCCGGGUAGUCCACGACCUAAACGUUGGACACUAGGUGUGGGGGGUGGUCGACCCCCUCCUGUGCCGUAGCUAACGCUUUAAGUGUCCCGCCUGGGGAGUACGGCCGCAAGGCUA